GACGAACGCUGGCGGCGUGCUUAACACAUGCGAGUCGAACGGUAAGGCCCUUCGGGGUACACGAGUGGCGAACGGGUGAGUAACACGUGGGUGAUCUGCCCCGCACUUCGGGAUAAGCCUGGGAAACUGGGUCUAAUACCGGAUAGGACCACUGCCUGCAUGGGUGGUGGUGGAAAGCUUUUGCGGUGUGGGAUGGGCCCGCGGCCCAUCAGCUUGUUGGUGGGGUGAUGGCCUACCAAGGCGACGACGGGUAGCCGGCCUGAGAGGGUGACCGGCCACACUGGGACUGAGCUACGGCCCAGACUCCUACGGGAGGCAGCAGUGGGGAAUAUUGCACAUUGGGCGCAAGCCUGAUGCAGCGACGCCGCGUGAGGGAUGACGGCCUUCGGGUUGUAAACCUCUUUCAGCACCGACGAAGCGCAAGUGACGGUAGGUGCAGAAGAAGGACCGGCCAACUACGUGCCAGCCGCCGCAGUAA
Molecule: ribosomal RNA, 478 nt
Filed under: uncultured bacterium
Lineage: Bacteria
Description: partial 16S ribosomal RNA
Rfam family: Bacterial small subunit ribosomal RNA
Source: RNAcentral